GAUCCUGGCUCAGAACGAACGCUGGUGGCGUGUCUAUACAUGCAAGUCGAGCGAGGCAGCAAUGCCGAGCGGCGAACGGGUGAGUAACGCGUAAGCAAUCUGCCCCAUAUCAGGAAAUACCCGUGCCAACGCGCGGUUAAUGUCCAGGAGAGUGGCUCCUUGCAUGAGGAGUUAACUAGAGAUUUAUCGGUAUGGGAUGAGCUUGCGUCCGAUUAGCUAGUUGGCGGGGCAACGGCCACCAAGGCGACGAUCGGUAGCCGGCCUGAGAGGGUGAUCGGCCACAUUGGGACUGAGAUACGGCCCAGACUCCUACGGGAGGCAGCAGUAGGGAAUAUUGCACAAUGGGGGAAACCCUGAUGCAGCAACGCCACGUGUGGGAAGAAGCAUUUCGGUGUGUAAACCACUGUCAUGAGGGAAUAAGGCCCUUAUCCGUAAGGGAUUGAAUGUACCUUGAGAGGAAGCACCGGCAAACUUCGUGCCAGCCGCUGC
This 489-nucleotide ribosomal RNA is filed under the name uncultured bacterium. Its description in RNAcentral is "bacterial SSU rRNA". It matches the Rfam family "Bacterial small subunit ribosomal RNA", at positions 15 to 518 of the family's 1533-position model. The record is from RNAcentral.